RNAcentral lists this ribosomal RNA (460 nucleotides) under uncultured bacterium. RNAcentral describes it as "partial 16S ribosomal RNA". It matches the Rfam family "Bacterial small subunit ribosomal RNA", at positions 338 to 795 of the family's 1533-position model. The record is from RNAcentral.
CCUACGGGCGGCAGCAGUGAGGAAUAUUGGUCAAUGGGCGCGAGCCUGAACCAGCCAAGUAGCGUGAAGGAUGACUGCCCUACGGGUUGUAAACUUCUUUUAUAAAGGAAUAAAGUGAGGCACGUGUGCCUUUUUGUAUGUACGUUAUGAAUAAGGAUCGGCUAACUCCGUGCCAGCAGCCGCGGUAAUACGGAGGAUCCGAGCGUUAUCCGGAUUUAUUGGGUUUAAAGGGAGCGUAGAUGGGUUGUUAAGUCAGUUGGGAAAGUUUGCGGCUCAACCGUAAAAUUGCAAUUGAUACUGGCAGUCUUGCGUCCAGUUGAGGUAGGCGGAAUUCGUGGUGUCGCGGUGACAUGCUUAGAUAUCACGAAGUACUCCGAUUGCGAAGGCAGCUUACUAAACUGCCCCUGACAUUGAUGCUCGAAAGUGUGGGUAUCAAACAGGCUUAGAUACCCCUGUAGUC